Molecule: ribosomal RNA, 253 nt
Filed under: uncultured bacterium
Lineage: Bacteria
Description: partial 16S ribosomal RNA
Rfam family: Bacterial small subunit ribosomal RNA
Source: RNAcentral
UACGUAGGGGGCAAGCGUUGUUCGGAAUUACUGGGCGUAAAGGGCACGUAGGCGGCACGGCAAGUCAGGAGUGAAAGGCCUGGGCUCAACCUGGGAAUUGCUUUUGAAACUGCCGAGCUAGAGUGCGGAAGGGGCAACUGGAAUUCCCAGUGUAGCGGUGAAAUGCGUAGAUAUUGGGAAGAACACCUGAGGCGAAGGCGGGUUGCUGGGCCGACACUGACGCUGAUGCGCGAAAGCCAGGGGAGCGAACGGG